Molecule: ribosomal RNA, 799 nt
Filed under: uncultured bacterium
Lineage: Bacteria
Description: bacterial SSU rRNA
Rfam family: Bacterial small subunit ribosomal RNA
Source: RNAcentral
CAAGAUAGAGUUUGAUCCUGGCUCAGAUUGAACGCUGGCGGAAUGCUUUACACAUGCAAGUCGAACGGCAGCACGGACUUCGGUCUGGUGGCGAGUGGCGAACGGGUGAGUAAUAUAUCGGAACGUAUCCAAUAAUGGGGGAUAACUAAUCGAAAGGUUGGCUAAUACCGCAUACGCCCUAUGGGGGAAAGCUAGGGAUCUUCGGACCUGGCGUUAAUGGAGCGGCCGAUAUCUGAUUAGCUAGUUGGUGGGGUAAAGGCCCACCAAGGCGACGAUCAGUAGCUGGUCUGAGAGGACGACCAGCCACACUGGAACUGAGACACGGUCCAGACUCCUACGGGAGGCAGCAGUGGGGAAUUUUGGACAAUGGGCGCAAGCCUGAUCCAGCCAUUCCGCGUGAGUGAAGAAGGCCUUCGGGUUGUAAAGCUCUUUCGCAAGGGAAGAAAACUUAGGCGCUAAUAUCGCUUGAGGUUGACGGUACCUUGAUAAGAAGCACCGGCUAACUACGUGCCAGCAGCCGCGGUAAUACGUAGGGUGCGAGCGUUAAUCGGAAUUACUGGGCGUAAAGCGUGCGCAGGCGGUUUUGUAAGUCAGAUGUGAAAUCCCCGAGCUCAACUUGGGUACUGCGUUUGAAACUACAAGACUAGAAUAUGUCAGAGGGGGGUAGAAUUCCACGUGUAGCAGUGAAAUGCGUAGAGAUGUGGAGGAAUACCAAUGGCGAAGGCAGCCCCCUGGGAUAAUAUUGACGCUCAUGCACGAAAGCGUGGGGAGCAAACAGGAUUAGAUACCCUGGUAGUCC